Malurus melanocephalus (red-backed fairy wren) is the source of this 1457-nucleotide long non-coding RNA. RefSeq lists it as uncharacterized. Lineage: Eukaryota; Metazoa; Chordata; Aves; Passeriformes; Maluridae. The transcript has 4 exons. The record is from RefSeq and is a predicted model, not a curated record.
CUGAAGUUACAUUGUAGAUGCUGAAAUCACUGCACCUUAAAAACAAAAAGAUUAAGCCACACUGCAUUCCUGUGCGGAAUUAAAACCCAUGAAGGUUUCUGCAGUGGUUGGCAGUUUUCCUCAACUUUGCAAGAGAGAGAGAUUUGGUUGGAAUGAAACCUUGCUCUGCGUACAGCCUGCCUGAGAUGCAGCACUGAAAGAUCACUCACAGUCAGUUUGUGGCCUUUCUCUGAAGGAACAUUUCCUUGUCUCUUGUGUAAGUAUUUAUAACAUUUUAUACUUUCCAUUGAUGUGAGUUGUGCAUUUGCUUUAAGUUUCAUCAAAGUCAACCAGGGACUUCUGUUACUUCCCAUGGCCACAGGACUCAAAACUGAUUUUUUUAUUCUAAUGCAGUCCAAGAUUUUAAUACAGUGCCACCUUAUGGGACUCAGAUUUUAGUUCAGUGGWAUUGUGUGAUUGAUUGAUUGAUAUGGAAUUCAUAUGUGCAUUUCUGGAUGACAGUAUGGAAGAUUUCUCUUUCUUGGUGGGGAGAUAUGAGUUCUGAUGGACAUUAUGCUCUUGUGCUCUAUAUCAGAAUGAAAUGUGCAAGGGCAAAACAAGUACAGAAAAAGGUCAACUAGCAUUGCAACCUGUCCUUGCUGAASUUUGACCCUGUGGUGUGGGACCCUUCCUUACCCAGUCCUGGCUGCUCUCUGCCCAUCUCUUAUCUGAGYAGAUGAAAUAUGCUGUAUUCUCACUGACAUCCAACAUUGCUCAAGUUCAAAAUCUGUUAGCAGUCUAUUUGGAAGGUGUUACUCAGGGUUCUUUUCUCACCUGGUUGUGUUCAUUUCAAUUUGGCUGCUGCUAUGUAGGUUGUUGAUUCAUUGACCUUUUUAACUGAAGAAAAUACUAUGUUUAUCCAGAUAAUUUGUUUUCAAGACCCAGAACAGGAAGAAUUAAAUUUUUUCCUGGUUUAUGUUUUGGUUUUUUUCCUUUUUGGGGGUAAUAAGGGAUAGAACCUUUUUGAGUGUUUGUUUGUUAUCAUUUGAGUUUUAAUUUUGUCAGGUUCUGACACAUGAUGGUUUUGCGYAUUUGGAACAAAAACUCACAUUUUUCUGGGAUUCCUUCAUACAUACUGGCAGKGAAAUCUAGUGCUUUUGAAACAAUGACUCUUCUUGUUGAAAUAUAAAGAGAAAUAUAGCACUACCACUUCAUAAUAUUUACUAUAGUUAAGUAAAGACAGACCAAGUUUUCCAAAUGUCCACCAGCAUUUUAAGCCACUGUUUUGGGAUGUCCAAGCUGAAGYUAUUUUGUGAAUGCCAAAAAUAAUGAGGGCUUUUAAAUUUAGGUUUAGAACRUCACAUCCAAAUAGACCUGGACUUUGUGCUACUUAAGAUCUCCAUAUUGCAAUUUAAAUUCAUGUUUCCUAUCUGUUCAGAGAGAAAAGUAGAUGGCUGUUAAAGUGCUGCCUGGAAUUA